Molecule: transfer RNA, 80 nt
Filed under: Ameiurus melas (black bullhead)
Lineage: Eukaryota; Metazoa; Chordata; Actinopteri; Siluriformes; Ictaluridae
Rfam family: tRNA
About the family: Transfer RNA (tRNA) molecules are approximately 80 nucleotides in length. Their secondary structure includes four short double-helical elements and three loops (D, anti-codon, and T loops).
Source: Rfam by way of RNAcentral
GUAGUUGUGGCGCAGGGUUAAGGCGAUGGACUAGAAAUCCAUUGGGGUCUCCCGCGCAGGUUCGACUCCUGCCAACUACG